GUGCCUACGGGAGGCAGCAGUGGGGAAUAUUGGGCAAUGGGCGCAAGCCUGACCCAGCAACGCCGCGUGAAGGAAGAAGGCUUUCGGGUUGUAAACUUCUUUUGACAGGGAAGAGUAGAAGACGGUACCUGUCGAAUAAGCCACGGCUAACUACGUGCCAGCAGCCGCGGUAAUACGUAGGUGGCAAGCGUUAUCCGGAUUUACUGGGUGUAAAGGGAGCGUAGACGGCCAGACAAGUCAGAAGUGAAAGCCCAGGGCUCAACCCUGGGACUGCUUUUGAAACUGCCGAGCUGGAGUGCAGGAGG
RNAcentral lists this ribosomal RNA (305 nucleotides) under uncultured bacterium. RNAcentral's name for it is "bacterial SSU rRNA". It matches the Rfam family "Bacterial small subunit ribosomal RNA", at positions 335 to 655 of the family's 1533-position model. The record is from RNAcentral.